Molecule: ribosomal RNA, 623 nt
Filed under: Desulfobulbaceae bacterium PR8_F09
Lineage: Bacteria; Pseudomonadati; Thermodesulfobacteriota; Desulfobulbia; Desulfobulbales; Desulfobulbaceae
Description: bacterial SSU rRNA
Rfam family: Bacterial small subunit ribosomal RNA
Source: RNAcentral
CUCCGAAAGGUGUGCUAAUACCGGAUACGCUGAGAAAUCAGGAAAGGUGGCCUCUUCAUGAAAGCUACUGUAUCAGGAGGAGCUUGCGUACCAUUAGCUAGUUGGUGGGGUAAUGGCCUACCAAGGCAACGAUGGUUAGCGGGUCUGAGAGGAUGAUCCGCCACACUGGAACUGGAACACGGACCAGACUCCUACGGGAGGCAGCAGUGAGGAAUAUUGCGCAAUGGGGGCAACCCUGACGCAGCGACGCCGCGUGGAUGAUGAAGGCCUUCGGGUCGUAAAAUCCUGUCAGAUGGAAAGAAAUGUCAUAUGCCUAAUAUGUGUAUGAUUUGACGGUACCAUCAAAGGAAGCACCGGCUAACUCCGUGCCAGCAGCCGCGGUAAUACGGAGGGUGCAAGCGUUGUUCGGAAUUACUGGGCGUAAAGCGCGCGUAGGCGGCUUUUUAAGUCAGAUGUGAAAGUCCACGGCUCAACCGUGGAAGUGCAUUUGAUACUGGGAAGCUUGAGUACUGGAGGGGAUGGUGGAAUUCCCGGUGUAGAGGUGAAAUUCGUAGAUAUCGGGAGGAAUACCGGUGGCGAAGGCGACCAUCUGGCCAGAUACUGACGCUGAGGUGCGAAAGCGU